This is a long non-coding RNA of Musa acuminata AAA Group (dessert banana), 329 nucleotides long. RefSeq lists it as uncharacterized. Lineage: Eukaryota; Viridiplantae; Streptophyta; Magnoliopsida; Zingiberales; Musaceae. The transcript is spliced from 2 exons. The record is from RefSeq and is a predicted model, not a curated record.
AACCACCUGUUCAUAUAAGACAAGCAAAAAGCUUUAGAUGCGCAUCGCAAUGAUGGUCCUCUGUAUGCAACUCAAGCAUCGAAGUCUAGAAAGGUAGCAGAGGAACAUGAAGAUCGUAUGAAGAAGCAUGGAGAUUCAUGUUCAUGGAUAACAGGUUAAGAGAAGGGAGCUGACCGCUGAAGGCGAGGCCGUAGGCGGCGACGACGGAGGUCUGGAUGACGGUGUUCUCCUGGCGGGUGAAGGGGGUGCGGAGGAGGCCGGCGUGCUCCAGGGCCUUGGUCCAGAGCUUGACGAAGAAGAAGCCGAGGAGGCCGGCGGCGACGUUGAGG